RNAcentral lists this transfer RNA (68 nucleotides) under Marmota monax (woodchuck). Its description in RNAcentral is "tRNA.Ala". The record is from RNAcentral. Lineage: Eukaryota; Metazoa; Chordata; Mammalia; Rodentia; Sciuridae.
GGUUUGUGGCUUAGUGGUAGAGUGCUCGCCUAGCAUGUGCAAGGCCCUGGGUUCGAUGCUCAGCACCA